AGGAAUGCUUAGGAAUCUGCCUAUUAGUGGGGGACAACAUUCCGAAAGGGAUGCUAAUACCGCAUACGUCCUACGGGAGAAAGCAGGGGAUCUUCGGACCUUGCGCUAAUAGAUGAGCCUAAGUCGGAUUAGCUAGUUGGUGGGGUAAAGGCCUACCAAGGCGACGAUCUGUAGCGGGUCUGAGAGGAUGAUCCGCCACACUGGGACUGAGACACGGCCCAGACUCCUACGGGAGGCAGCAGUGGGGAAUAUUGGACAAUGGGGGGAACCCUGAUCCAGCCAUGCCGCGUGUGUGAAGAAGGCCUUAUGGUUGUAAAGCACUUUAAGCGAGGAGGAGGCUACUGAGACUAAUACUCUUGGAUAGUGGACGUUACUCGCAGAAUAAGCACCGGCUAACUCUGUGCCAGCAGCCGCGGUAAUACAGAGGGUGCGAGCGUUAAUCGGAUUUACUGGGCGUAAAGCGUGCGUAGGCGGCUUUUUAAGUCGGAUGUGAAAUCCCCGAGCUUAACUUGGGAAUUGCAUUCGAUACUGGGAAGCUAGAGUAUGGGAGAGGAUGGUAGAAUUCCAGGUGUA
Molecule: ribosomal RNA, 573 nt
Filed under: uncultured bacterium
Lineage: Bacteria
Description: bacterial SSU rRNA
Rfam family: Bacterial small subunit ribosomal RNA
Source: RNAcentral